RNAcentral lists this ribosomal RNA (467 nucleotides) under uncultured bacterium. RNAcentral describes it as "partial 16S ribosomal RNA". It matches the Rfam family "Bacterial small subunit ribosomal RNA", at positions 29 to 507 of the family's 1533-position model. The record is from RNAcentral.
ACGAACGCUGGCGGCGUGCUUAACACAUGCAAGUCGAACGGAAAGGCCCUGCUUUUGUGGGGUGCUCGAGUGGCGAACGGGUGAGUAACACGUGAGUAACCUGCCCUUGACUUUGGGAUAACAUCAGGAAACUGGGGCUAAUACCGGAUAGGAGCUCCUGCUGCAUGGUGGGGGUUGGAAAGUUUCGGCGGUUGGGGAUGGACUCGCGGCUUAUCAGCUUGUUGGUGGGGUAGUGGCUUACCAAGGCUUUGACGGGUAGCCGGCCUGAGAGGGUGACCGGCCACAUUGGGACUGAGAUACGGCCCAGACUCCUACGGGAGGCAGCAGUGGGGAAUAUUGCACAAUGGGCGGAAGCCUGAUGCAGCAACGCCGCGUGCGGGAUGACGGCCUUCGGGUUGUAAACCGCUUUCGCCUGUGACGAAGCGUGAGUGACGGUAAUGGGUAAAGAAGCACCGGCUAACUACGUG